AAGCUUCCUUCCCCAAUUCACUGAACGAACCCCAAUCUCAUUUACCGCCGGUGUCGUUUAUUCAAAUUACCUUCUCAUCUCAAGUCACCUUCUCAUCUUGGAAGGUUCUCCACCACCACUCAUUUCAUCACAGGUUUUCUUCCUCCUCAAUUUUUUUCGAAGGGGGCGACCAUGGCUUUUUUCGGCCAACCCAUAGGACAAAUUCGACCCUCUUGGCUGCCGGGGAGGGGCGACCGCACCCUCCUGCCCCCCCCUGGAUCCGCCACUGAACCCAAAGAUGUCAUGAAAUUACUCAUAGCAGUCGACAUCAAAACAACGCUGCCCAUCCUUGCGUAUUUAUCACGGGAAGCCAAUACUUUUUGCUUCGGAAGCCAAUGAAAGCAUCGGCCGCCAUUGCAAGUGUGCAGACGGCAGAAGCUGCUGCAAUAUACAUGCCUAUCCAUGGCAUCGUUGAAUCGAGUGAUUCUUGCUCAAAGUAAUAGCAGGAGUAGUAUAAUCCACGAGCUCGAAAGCUUGCUCGAUUAUUUCGAUUUGUGCUUCUCUUUGAUUUUGAUUGUACCACAGAGUCUUAGUUCAAUGAAAAGAGUAUCAAGUCUUUGCCGUGUUAA
Long non-coding RNA from Salvia hispanica, 608 nucleotides. RefSeq lists it as uncharacterized. The record is from RefSeq and is a predicted model, not a curated record. NCBI's taxonomy places the organism in Eukaryota, Viridiplantae, Streptophyta, Magnoliopsida, Lamiales, Lamiaceae.